Molecule: ribosomal RNA, 497 nt
Filed under: uncultured bacterium
Lineage: Bacteria
Description: partial 16S ribosomal RNA
Rfam family: Bacterial small subunit ribosomal RNA
Source: RNAcentral
GAUGAACGCUGGCGGCGUGCCUAAUACAUGCAAGUCGAGCGAACGGACGAGAAGCUUGCUUCUCUGAUGUUAGCGGCGGACGGGUGAGUAACACGUGGAUAACCUACCUAUAAGACUGGGAUAACUUCGGGAAACCGGAGCUAAUACCGGAUGAUAUUUUGAACCGCAUGGUUCAAAAGUGAAAGACGGUCUUGCUGUCACUUAUAGAUGGAUCCGCGCUGCAUUAGCUAGUUGGUAAGGUAACGGCUUACCAAGGCAACGAUGCAUAGCCGACCUGAGAGGGUGAUCGGCCACACGGGAGCGGAGACACGGUCCAGACUCCUACGGGAGGCAGCAGUAGGGAAUCUUCCGCAAUGGGCGAAAGCCUGACGGAGCAACGCCGCGUGAGUGAUGAAGGUCUUCGGAUCGUAAAACUCUGUUAUUAGGGAAGAACAUAUGUGUAAGUAACUGUGCACAUCUUGACGGUACCUAAUCAGAAAGCCACGGCUAACUACGUG